GUGCUCGCUUUGGCAGCACGUAUACUAAAAUUGGAACAAUACAGAGAAAAUUAGCAUGGUCUCUGUGCAAGGAUGACACACCUAGGUGGGAUAAAAUCGAGAAGCAC
Molecule: small nuclear RNA, 107 nt
Organism: Ochotona princeps (American pika)
Lineage: Eukaryota; Metazoa; Chordata; Mammalia; Lagomorpha; Ochotonidae
Source: Ensembl